This is a small nucleolar RNA of Castor canadensis (American beaver), 158 nucleotides long. Its record names the gene SNORA73. It matches the Rfam family "Small nucleolar RNA SNORA73 family". From Rfam's summary of the family: U17 (SNORA73A and SNORA73B) also known as E1 belongs to the H/ACA class of small nucleolar RNAs (snoRNAs). NCBI's taxonomy places the organism in Eukaryota, Metazoa, Chordata, Mammalia, Rodentia, Castoridae. The record is from Ensembl.
CCCACAUCCACCUUCCCUGGGCUCUGACCCAUGAUGCACAGUCCCUUUCCACAAUGUUGGAAAAGAAACUGGACCUUGAGUCUGUGCCUGCACAUUUCUACAACUUCUCAGAGUCCUGUGGGCAAAGACUCAGAGGACAAACCAUGCAGGAAACAUUC